RNAcentral lists this transfer RNA (76 nucleotides) under Candidatus Atribacteria bacterium. Its description in RNAcentral is "tRNA-Ala". It matches the Rfam family "tRNA". Rfam says of the family: Transfer RNA (tRNA) molecules are approximately 80 nucleotides in length. Their secondary structure includes four short double-helical elements and three loops (D, anti-codon, and T loops). The record is from RNAcentral. Lineage: Bacteria; Pseudomonadati; Atribacterota; Atribacteria.
GGGCUGAUAGUUUAACUGGGAAAACACCUGUUUUGCACGCAGGAAUUAAGGGUUCGAGUCCCUUUCUGGUCCACCA